This 468-nucleotide ribosomal RNA is filed under the name uncultured bacterium. RNAcentral's name for it is "partial 16S ribosomal RNA". It matches the Rfam family "Bacterial small subunit ribosomal RNA", at positions 28 to 507 of the family's 1533-position model. The record is from RNAcentral.
GACGAACGCUGGCGGCGUGCUUAACACAUGCAAGUCGAACGGAAAGGCCCUGCUUUUGUGGGUUGCUCGAGUGGCGAACGGGUGAGUAACACGUGAGUAACCUGCCCUUGACUUUGGGAUAACUUCAGGAAACUGGGGCUCAUACCGGAUAGGAGCUCCUGCUGCAUGGAGGGGGUUGGAAAGUUUCGGCGGUUGGGGCUGGACUCGCGGCUUAUCAGCUUGUUUGUGGGGUAGUUGCUUACCAAGGCUUUGACGGGUAGCCGGCCUGAGAGGGUGACCGGCGACAUUGGGACUGAGAUACGGACCAGACUCCUACGGGAGGCAGCAGUGGGGAAUAUUGCACAAUGGGCGGAAGCCUGAGGCAGCAACGCCGCGUGCGGGAUGACGGCCUUCGGGUUGUGAACAGCUUUCGCCUGUGACGAAGCGUGAGUGACGGUAAUGGGUAAAGAAGCACCGGCUAACUACGUG